This 1013-nucleotide ribosomal RNA is filed under the name human gut metagenome. RNAcentral's name for it is "bacterial LSU rRNA". It matches the Rfam family "Bacterial large subunit ribosomal RNA", at positions 1911 to 2925 of the family's 2925-position model. The record is from RNAcentral.
ACUGAAGCCCCGGUGAACGGCGGCCGUAACUAUAACGGUCCUAAGGUAGCGAAAUUCCUUGUCGGGUAAGUUCCGACCCGCACGAAAGGUGUAACGAUUUGGGCACUGUCUCAACGAGGGACCCGGUGAAAUUGAAAUACCUGUGAAGAUGCAGGUUACCCGCGACUGGACAGAAAGACCCCAUGGAGCUUUACUGUAACCUGACAUUGGGUUUUGAUACAUUACGUACAGGAUAGGUGGGAGGCAUGGAAAGCUGGACGCUAGUCUGGCUGGAGCCGACGUUGGGAUACCACCCUUGAUGUAUUGAAAUUCUAACCGCGAGAGUAACGAAAUCCGGGACAGUGUCAGGCGGGCAGUUUGACUGGGGCGGUCGCCUCCGAAAGAGUAACGGAGGCGCCCAAAGGUUCCCUCAGCGCGGCCGGAAAUCGCGCGAAGAGUGUAAAGGCAGAAGGGAGCUUGACUGCGAGUCAAACACGACGAGCAGGUACGAAAGUAGGGCUUAGUGAUCCGGUGGUACCGAGUGGAAGGGCCAUCGCUCAACGGAUAAAAGCUACCCUGGGGAUAACAGGCUAAUCUCUCCCAAGAGUUCAUAUCGACGGGGAGGUUUGGCACCUCGAUGUCGGCUCAUCACAUCCUGGGGCUGAAGUCGGUCCCAAGGGUUGGGCUGUUCGCCCAUUAAAGUGGUACGUGAGCUGGGUUCAGAACGUCGUGAGACAGUUCGGUCCCUAUCCAUCGCGGGCGCAAGAGAUUUGAAGGGGGCUGCUCCUAGUACGAGAGGACCGGAGUGGACGAACCGCUGGUGUACCAAUUAUCCCGCCAGGGGUACAGUUGGGUAGCUACGUUCGGAAAGGAUAAACGCUGAAAGCAUCUAAGCGUGAAACCAGCCUUAAGAUGAGAUCUCUCAUAGAGCAAUCUAGUAAGACACCUUAAAGAAGAUGAGGUUGAUAGGUCGGGAGUGUAAGUACAGCAAUGUAUUGAGCGGACCGAUACUAAUAUGUCGAGGGCUUGACUUA